AUAAGCCAUCUAGUCUAUGGUAAUUUGUUACAGCAACUCAAAGUGACUAAGAUGCUCAAGAAGAAAUAAAGGAUACACAAGAAACUGAUAACAUUAGUUAACUGCACUGAGAAGAAUUAUGCAGCUGAGGGGCAGAGCCAGGAACCCUAAGACAGUGAAGGAAAAUCUCUUCCUCCCCUAGAGCUUCUGGUACCCAAUGAAGGGCCACAUCAGCUGGGGACACCUUGCUCAGUCCAGAAGCUGCUGUUCAAAGAUCCUGGACUUCCCAUCUGACAAAAGCCAGCAGAAGGGAGAACGGACUUGCCUUGUCUUAGAUGAGACUUUGGAAAGUGGACUUCAGAGUUAAUGCUGAAAUGUGUCAAGACUUGGGCGACUGUUAAGGAGGGAUGAUUGUAUUUUGCAAUGUGAGAAGGACAUGAGAUUUGGGAGGUGCCAGAGGUGGAAUGAUAUGGUU
Homo sapiens (human) is the source of this 454-nucleotide long non-coding RNA. RefSeq lists it as uncharacterized. The record is from RefSeq and is a predicted model, not a curated record. The transcript has 3 exons. NCBI's taxonomy places the organism in Eukaryota, Metazoa, Chordata, Mammalia, Primates, Hominidae.